Molecule: long non-coding RNA, 1315 nt
Organism: Oxyura jamaicensis (ruddy duck)
Lineage: Eukaryota; Metazoa; Chordata; Aves; Anseriformes; Anatidae
Exons: 2
Source: RefSeq, a predicted model, not a curated record
CAGACCUUGAAUGGUCUCCAGAAGACACAAAAAUUGAUUCUUCAGUACUCUUGAGCAUGCGGGGAUGUGCUGGCACUCCUUCAGGGGACACCAUGGGUGCGGAGCUGCAUGGCAGAACAAAGCAAUCCUCGCCACGGAGGAGCACAGCCGCACGGAGCAGCGCGUGCCUGCUUGCGAUGGGCUUUGCUGCAAAGGAGUCAGAAAAUCCAAGAUGAAAAGGCCCAUUUGCAUUUCUAUUUGUGCCGUUUGAUGUUGGCUACCGAGUACAACUGGAACAAGCAGCACUUUAAAUAAUCUAGAAAACACUAUCUAGCAUCCUGAGCGCUUGUGGAGUUGGCCUUUUUUUUUUUUUUUUUUUUUUCUGUUUUUUUAAAGGCAGCUCUCAGCUUGGUAGAGAAACCGUGAUGGCAGCAUCACUAAGAGCUCAGGUGAGCAAAGCAGUGCUAACUGCCCGGAGAACAUGAGCCCAGCAGGUAAUCCGUCCGUCUGUCUGUCCUCCUGGCUCCGUGCUUCUCCUCUCCCAAGGAAACCCAACCCACACAGCUGAAAUCAGAGCAGCCAAGCAGCUAGAGCGAGCUGAAAGCCCGGGGAGGAAAUGUGGUUAUUGUGAAAAACAUUAACUAAAGAUGAUCAUGAGCACUUUGCUGAGUCCCACCUGAUUCACCCCUGCCCAGGGCUUCCUCUGAGCCUGUGCUCAGCAGCACGAUUUGCACCCAGCUGGGAAACACAAGCACCCUGUGAUGGAAGGGGUGACUUAAUCACUUUUGCAUAGCUUUUUUUCUUUUUUCUUUUUUUUUUUUUCUCUCUCCUGAGUUAAUUAAAAGUAGAAGUGCUCAUAUGCUCAUAUCAAGCACAGUGCCUCUGUGAGCACCACAUGCUCUUCAGCAACAUGUGGACAAGCAGGACUUAGUGCAUUGGCCCAAUUUAGUGCAGAGUUACCAGCAACACCCAUUUUUCCACCAAAACUGCAAGAUUCUGAAAUGCUUUUAGUAACUCCAGGCCAUUUUAGUGCCUUCCCAAGGCCUCCACCAAAAAGCCAAAUGGAGAAAAAGCUCCGUCCCCAUCUCACUGUCCUUGGAAGCUCAGAGCCCCUCUUGGUGCUGCAGAGCACGGGAGACUUUAAAGCAGUGCUGGCUCUGGGGAAGCUGUCUGGAAUUGGACCCGUUGAAUAGGAAACCCCCAUAGUUCAGCCCUGAAAAUAUCCACCUUACAUGUACCAGCAUAAAAGCUAGCUUUUAAACUUCAUUACCCUUUUCUUUGCUAGGUUUUGUGCUGCCUGCUGACAUUCUCAUCCUGGUACCAGUUUGGUUUUUAA